RNAcentral lists this ribosomal RNA (450 nucleotides) under uncultured bacterium. RNAcentral describes it as "bacterial SSU rRNA". It matches the Rfam family "Bacterial small subunit ribosomal RNA", at positions 44 to 518 of the family's 1533-position model. The record is from RNAcentral.
AUGCCUAACACAUAGCAAGUACGAACGGAAGUAGAAAUACUUAGUGGCGAACGGGUGAGUAACACGUGAGCAACCUGCCUAUACACAGGGAUAACAGUUGGAACGACUGCUAAUACCGGAUAAGACCACACUAUGGCAUCAUAGAGGGGUCGAAAGCGAAUAAGCGGUAUAAGAUGGGCUCGCGUCCAAUUAGCUAGUUGGUGAGGUAACGGCCCACCAAGGCGACGAUGGUAGCCGACUGAGAGAGUGAUCGGCCACACUGGAACUGAGACACGGUCCAGACUCCUACGGGAGGCAGCAGUGGGGAAUAUUGGGCAAUGGAGGAAACUCUUACCCAGCAAAUGCCGCGUGAGUGAUGAAGGUCUUUGGAUUGUAAAGCUCUUUGAUUGGGGACGAAUAAAUGACGGUACCCAAAGAACAAGCCCCGGCUAACUAUGUGCCAGCAGCAGC